GGGAGAGACUGAAGGCCAUGGAUAACCUCCUGCGCUGUGGUAUCUGUUUUGAAUACUUCAACAUUGCCAUGAUGAUCCCUCACUGUUCGCAUAAUUGGAUUUUGAUGCAACUGAAUGCUCCAAAAUGGACUAGCAAGCCAAAGCUGGAAGUCAACCCCAUUCAUGUGGUUCUGAAGCGACACAUACUUGCAGACCUAGUGUGCACAGUGCAUUGCCUUUAAGGGACAUUAGUGCGAGUCACUUGGGUUUGACAACAGUCAGAUUGUGACAUAGUCAGCGAACAUUGUCAACAGACGCUCACUGACUCCCCAACAAAUAAUCAUUGUAUCUGUUCUGGUUGGGAACGAAUUGGUGAGGGUCUGGUCUUAUUGUGGCGAUGGGAAGUCGGUGAGGGUGUGGUCUGGUUGUGGCAGCGGGGUGGAGUUGGUGAGGAUCAGGUCUGGUUGUGGCAGUGGGGGGCGAAGUCGGUGAGGGUCUGGUCUGGUUGUAGAUGUCAAUGAGCUGGCCUAGUUAUGAUGGGCAGACUGGCUGCUUUCUGGGCUGGAAGAUUCUUGGAUACCAUGAAUAUGGCGAGGCAUUGUUAAUUCCAUUGCUAGGAAUAUAGCAGUAGAAAGCCAUGACGUUGGGGCACAGGAAUCGUGCUGCUGACUGGAGAUAAAUACGGAGUAAGAAAAUGUGGAGUUGCCGUCAGGACAGACUUACACGUGAUACAUUUCUCUCAUAAUGCGCCAGACUGUUGCCUUUCUGUGCGUUGUAUCAGAUGACUUGGUCUGGUAUUUCGUGAUAUAACCUACUCCUUGUAUCACAGUUUCUUGACUGAGCAAGUGACAGUGAACUUACUCCUUGGUCAAUGCACUGUAGCAGUGUAACUGGGAGAUUGGGAAUGAUCUGGGAAUGCCACAAAAAAAUUUAUUGAACUAAUUUCUUAUUGUUCCAUCUUAUCUUGCAGUCCCGUUUUUCUUGGCAAGCUGAGUGAUCUCUAGUCCUCCAGAUCCGCUUAAGCCACAUUUCAGUUAUGCUUCGGACUGUGAUGAUUCCGCAAUCCUUACCAAUUGUUGCCCAAGCAAUAUUUUGACCUGCUGUUUUUCUUUCCUCCUUUUUUUGUUUUGCCUUUGUGCUCUCCCAAAUUCCUCAGGGUGGUCUCUAAUAUUGGCACUUGUAUUUUAUCAGUCCGAAAUGACCAUUUGUAAAAUGAACCUGGACAGUGGAAAGCAGUGCCAUUGUGUCCUGGGGUGGAAUCACGGUCAUGGAGCUUCAUCCAACUUCGUGACACCCAUAAUGCAGAGAAAUGCCCGUCAAACAGGAGUCUCAUGGAGACUGCUUCUAAAUGUGGGGGGACUGGUGAGUUUGCCAAGGAAAAUGGGACCACAAGAUGAGAUGGAACAAAAGGAAAUCAGGUCAGUAAAUCUCUGUGGCAUUCCAAGAUCAUUCCCAGGCUCCCAGUUACAUUGCUACAGUGCAGUGACCGAGGGGAAAGUUCACUAUCACUUGCUCAGUCAAGAAACUGUGAUGCAAAGAGUAGGUUAUAUCACAAAAUACCAAACCCAGUCAUCUGAUACAAUGCACAGAAAGGCAACAGUCCGGUGCAUUUAUAGGAAGAGAAAUGUAUCACAUGUAAGUCUGGCCUGACAGUAACUCCACAUUUUCUUACCUACAGUCAGCAGCAUAAUUCCUAUGUCCCACUGAUUUACAAAGACAAGAACCAAAGGAAAAGUCGGAGGUGACAAUAUCUGUAGGGAAGGUUUAACAGUAGCCUGCUGCGGCUGAUGCAAUUUAACAUUACGUUCAAUGAUCGUAGUGUUCUUGCAGACAGCAGCACUUCUUGGUCUGAAGGUUCCUGUAUCAAUCAAAUAAGUUUGUUACUUUCUGGCUGAGAUAUUUAACUCGGCUUGUUUAGGAGCAAAGGUGGGAAGUAACCUGAUAGGGAUAUGGUGAGAAAAGUGAGAAUGUCACUGUUUCGUUUUGAGUGGUGCUGCUCUAGAAUUCCUUGUCAUGGAAUAAGAAGAAUCUGUAAUGAGUAAGCAGAUGAGUCAAUGUGGCACAAGGUUACUGUGUCAGUGUGAGUGAAGCAGAGUUUAUGCUGUCUUCAACUCCUAUUUUAAUGAUUAUGUAUUAAUUAAACUUGCAGAAGUGUGUUUUUCUUAGAACAACUGAAUUGCUUCAUGGAAUCACAGAAAAGUUAUGGCACAGAAAGGGAACUUUCAUCACAUUGCAUCUGUGCUGCCUGGAUAAACUAGCUGCUCAUUCUAAUCCCACUCUCUGGCUCCUGGGCCUUCACCUUUGUGGGUUAUUGAUUUUUGAGGCAUUUCCAGGUUCCUUUUAAACAGGGUUUCUGUCUCAACCAUUAAACAGGGCAACACAUUUCGUGUACCCAUCAUCUGGGCGGGAAAGGUUUUCCCUCAUGUAUCCUCUAAUCCUUCUAUCAAUCACAGUAAGUCUAUGCCCUCUGGAAUUGACCUAUGAUCUGGGAAACAGCUCUUCUCUGUGUACUCAGUCUAAACUCCAAAUUAUUUUGUACAGCUCAAUUAAGUCACUCCUUAGCCUCCGCUAACCUAAGUGAAACAACCCCAGCCUAUCCAAUUGUUCCUCGCCUGCAGUUUUCAAGCCCUGGCAAUGUAUUGUAAAUCUCCUCUGUACUCUUUCCAGAGCAAUUAUAUUCUUCCUGUAAUAUGACCAGAAUUGGGUGCAAAAUUACACCUGUUAUCUUGACAGGGUUUUACACUGUUCUGGCAUUGCAUCCCUUGUCCUGUAUUUUGUACCUUGUCCAAUGAAGGAUACCAUGCCAAAUGCUUCCUUUCCUUAUUUACCUGUCCUGCCACCUUCAAGAGCACAGUGGAUGCACACUCCAAAGUCUCACUUUUUCUAUUCGUAAUAUUCUCCUCUUAGUAACCUCCUCUUUAUUGUGUAUUGCUUAGCUUUGCCCUUUCCAAUUGCAUCACCUUACAUUUUUCUGGUGAUAUUCCAUUUGCCACUUUUCCGCCGAUUCCUUGAUGUUGUCCCUCAGUCAAGAGCCAUCUACUUCCCUGUCAACUGCAAGGCUAAUUUUUGUGUCAUUUGCAAACAUCCCAAUUGUGCCUCCUACAUUUGUAGUUGUAUAUUAUCACACUAUUACUGGGGAGCUGAAGAGAGAGAAUUGAAGGGCCACUCCAUUUGGAAUUACUCUGCUGCACUUUGUCCUGUUGCAGGUGAUUAAUUAGUCUUGUAAAAUGUUGGAAUUGUUUAGUUUGGAAAGCUGGAGUUACUUUUACAUUUCCAUAAAAGUAAGUGUAGUUUUUCAAAUAUCCAGUGUUUUUUUUGUGUGUGUGUGUGUGUGAGAUGUCAUGUACAGCAUUCUGAUGAAGUUAUUAAUGGUUUGUCACUUGUGAUGGGAGGUGAUAGUUUAAAUCACUUCAUAGAGAACAAUUGAAGAUUUGUUUGGAUUAAUAGGAUAUGUGGAAUAAACAGUUAAAAUUGCAAAAAGGGCACAUGAGAGAAGUCCAUUUUCGGAUUCAAAGCAUACCAAUACUAGAUUAUUUAAGUGUAAUAAUCG
Long non-coding RNA from Rhincodon typus (whale shark), 3529 nucleotides. RefSeq lists it as uncharacterized. The transcript has 3 exons. The record is from RefSeq and is a predicted model, not a curated record. Lineage: Eukaryota; Metazoa; Chordata; Chondrichthyes; Orectolobiformes; Rhincodontidae.